RNAcentral lists this ribosomal RNA (1007 nucleotides) under Paraburkholderia ginsengiterrae. RNAcentral's name for it is "bacterial SSU rRNA". It matches the Rfam family "Bacterial small subunit ribosomal RNA", at positions 60 to 1061 of the family's 1533-position model. Lineage: Bacteria; Pseudomonadati; Pseudomonadota; Betaproteobacteria; Burkholderiales; Burkholderiaceae. The record is from RNAcentral.
AGUCGAACGGCAGCACGGGAGCAAUCCUGGUGGCGAGUGGCGAACGGGUGAGUAAUACAUCGGAACGUGUCCUGUAGUGGGGGAUAGCCCGGCGAAAGCCGGAUUAAUACCGCAUACGCUCUACGGAGGAAAGGGGGGGAUCUUAGGACCUCUCGCUACAGGGGCGGCCGAUGGCAGAUUAGCUAGUUGGUGGGGUAAAGGCCUACCAAGGCGACGAUCUGUAGCUGGUCUGAGAGGACGACCAGCCACACUGGGACUGAGACACGGCCCAGACUCCUACGGGAGGCAGCAGUGGGGAAUUUUGGACAAUGGGCGCAAGCCUGAUCCAGCAAUGCCGCGUGUGUGAAGAAGGCCUUCGGGUUGUAAAGCACUUUUGUCCGGAAAGAAAACUUCGGGGUUAAUACCCCUGGAGGAUGACGGUACCGGAAGAAUAAGCACCGGCUAACUACGUGCCAGCAGCCGCGGUAAUACGUAGGGUGCGAGCGUUAAUCGGAAUUACUGGGCGUAAAGCGUGCGCAGGCGGUCCGCUAAGACCGAUGUGAAAUCCCCGGGCUUAACCUGGGAACUGCAUUGGUGACUGGCGGGCUAGAGUAUGGCAGAGGGGGGUAGAAUUCCACGUGUAGCAGUGAAAUGCGUAGAGAUGUGGAGGAAUACCGAUGGCGAAGGCAGCCCCCUGGGCCAAUACUGACGCUCAUGCACGAAAGCGUGGGGAGCAAACAGGAUUAGAUACCCUGGUAGUCCACGCCCUAAACGAUGUCAACUAGUUGUCGGGUCUUCAUUGACUUGGUAACGUAGCUAACGCGUGAAGUUGACCGCCUGGGGAGUACGGUCGCAAGAUUAAAACUCAAAGGAAUUGACGGGGACCCGCACAAGCGGUGGAUGAUGUGGAUUAAUUCGAUGCAACGCGAAAAACCUUACCUACCCUUGACAUGUAUGGAAUCCUGCUGAGAGGUGGGAGUGCCCGAAAGGGAGCCAUAACACAGGUGCUGCAUGGCUGUCGUCAGCUC